This 69-nucleotide transfer RNA is filed under the name Pyralis farinalis. RNAcentral's name for it is "tRNA-Gln". The record is from RNAcentral. Lineage: Eukaryota; Metazoa; Arthropoda; Insecta; Lepidoptera; Pyralidae.
UAUAUUUUGGUGUAAGAAGCACAAUAAUUUUUGAUAUUGUAAGAUAUAGUUUAAUUCUAUAAAAUAUAA